Molecule: non-coding RNA, 2638 nt
Organism: Meleagris gallopavo (turkey)
Lineage: Eukaryota; Metazoa; Chordata; Aves; Galliformes; Phasianidae
Source: RefSeq, a predicted model, not a curated record
CCCUCAGGGCUUCUGCGUGGAGGCCGGGGGCCACCUUCUCUCGGCUGCUGUCAGAAGGGGGAGCUGGCACUGAUAAAAGGUUGGGAUGACAGUCUCCAUCUCCCACGUCUUCUUCCUGCGAAAAGAGCAACUCAUGUUUCAUCAUAAAGCACUAUUCCAGCCAAGCUAGGAGGUUCCAUAAUGGCAGGUUUCAAGCAAUACAAGGAGCUGCAGGUGGGGCUGUGUUGGGUUGGGCACUGCAAGGAAUGGUCUACCCACCUCUGCAAAACAACCUGGUGGAAAAAGAUGACGGAGAGAUGCCCGUGCUGUGCCUGAAACUUCAGAAGGCAUCGCUUUCGUUACGCCGGUGCAAACUUUCCCACUCAAAGCCAUUUGCUACAAGGCUUGGAUUACCCACUGCUAUCUCUCCUUGAUGUCCCAGGAAACGUCCCCAUACCCAGCCAGCUUUUCACGCAGAGAAAUGUGGGAGUGAUGGGAAGUAGGAACUUGGAAGCUGGGGCCGGUCCCUGCCACAGCACCAGGAUGCUUUGGACUCUUAACACCUUUCUUCUUCCAUACUCAUGGGCUCAUGGCUGGAUCUCAGCUUGGAGUGCUGGCAGCGGGGAAGAAGGAGUUGAGAGUAGAGAUUCCCUGUGCUUCUGAGAUCCACACCAGUCAUGAAACAAGAGAAUGUUCAGAGACGCCCACCUGACAAUUCUGUAAGUGCUGAUGAGCCUUCCAACCUGCUGCAGGCUCCGUUGUGCUGGGGAUGGGCUCUUCCAGCACUCCGACAGCAAGGGGAAAGCUUUCCUCAUUGGUAAAGCUGAGAGUAACUCUGAGUUAUUCUGAAGUAACAUGACAAGCUGCUUUAAGCAACACGAGAUAUUUAAUCCUGACAGCUUGAGCUUAGGCAGGCUUGGAGCUGAACCAUAGUGGAGCAUCACUUGAGGAGAGGAGCAUCUCUUAUGGGAUGCAGGAGCAGCUGACCAAACACAAAACCCAAAACCCUUCCUCGCUAAUCCUGUGCUUGCAAGAGACAGGGUUGUAUUGAGUGACCUCUGCUGCUUCAUUUUCUGUAUUUUAUAUAUUGCAUGUCCUCAGUGUGAGCAUCACAUCUCCUUUAGUUCCCUGUGCUUUCUUUGCAAUGUGUUUCUCAUUUCCCUGACCCGAGAGAAGCUCUUCCCUGUGCUAUGCCUUGAAACAUGCAUCAUUCUCCUGCAUGCUGCAGGGGCAAAAAAUAAGAUUCUCCAUUUUGGGGGACGCAGAGGAUCAUCCCCCAAAUUCCUGGAGCUGGGUGUCAUGAGCUGAUGAUUAUCACAGGACUCUCUGCAACACAAUAUGCAGAAUAGUGCCUGACCAAAAGCUGUUUGGAAGAAAAUCUUCUUGCGUAGCAGGAACACCAGCCCAUUCCCUCAGAAAAGCAUUUGUGUGAUAACAGAAUCAUCUACUUUGGAAAAGGCCUUCAAGAUCAAAGUCUGUACAGACAGGAUUUGAGCUGGCUUUUAUCAGGACAAGCUAAAUUCUUUGGAAAAAUGUCACCUGAGGUGACUUUGUGAUGUCUGGGCAGGCUGCCGUGCCAAGACCAAAGCCAGCCCUGGGGCUCCUGCUGGGCAAUGCCACCUGAGUGCAAUGACCUUGGUGCCGGAGGCAGCAUGGGGUUGUCCAGGACUGGUGCAAAGGCUGGGAUGCGAGCACAAAAAUAAACCCUCUGUGCAAAAAAUAUCUUUGGUUUCCUUUUGUGGAGUGGAGGAGAAGGAUGCUGUGUGCAGGUGGUGCAGGUUUGUGAAAAUUCGGAUAUUAGAUCUAGGUUAGGUGGGUCCAAGACCGUGGGCAAAUCCAUUACUGGGUGGUGGAGGGAGACAGCACGCUCCCAUGGUCCGUGGCAAUGGGGCAGGGGGGGACGUUAUGGUGUUUUGAAGCUCCAAAUGGAGUCUUCUCCUUGCUCCCCUCUGCCUGAGCACGGCAGCCCUUCUUUAAUAGGAACACACAGUAAAACAUGAGCUGUUAAAGCUCUCCUCAUGGCUGGGCUUCUGAUCAGGGAAGCAUUAAUUACGUUUGAGAGCAAAGGAGAGAGACUAAUGAAGGGGAGAUCAAAGGGAGCAGUGAGCACGCCAAGUUCAAAACCACAGCUCAUCCUGAGGAUGCUCUGCUGGGAUCUACCCUAAUACUGACCCACAGCUCUCUUGUCCUCCUCUGGACCAUGCAUUCACCCAAGGAUGAGCUAUUGGGUGACUCCUCACCACUGAGACCCUAUUCAUGGGGUGGAGUUGGCUGCUGGCCAGGCUAAGCACAGGAUCAGAGAGGGGAUUGUAAAUUAUUUAGCUGGGGAAGUGCUCAAGGCUUUGCAGCUCUUGGUUUGCACCAGCUCUCAGGAGCUUGUGCAGCCCAUGGGCACUGGGAGAUGCCCAGGGAAAAGGGGACCCCAGGGAAGGAGCUGGUGAAGAUAAAAGACAAUAUUGGUACAAGAGUACUAAUGUGGUUUAGUUUGAAAAUGAGGAGCCUGCUGAUGAGAAUCAUAGAAUCAUUAAGAUUGGAAAAGACCUCUAAGAUAAUUUAGUCCAACUGUCCACUAACCGCCAGUAUCACCCACCGACCAUGUCCCUCAGUGCCACAUCUCCUUGGCUCUUGAACAGCUCCAGGGACGGUGACUCCACCACCU